RNAcentral lists this ribosomal RNA (496 nucleotides) under Listeria monocytogenes. RNAcentral describes it as "bacterial SSU rRNA". It matches the Rfam family "Bacterial small subunit ribosomal RNA", at positions 1044 to 1533 of the family's 1533-position model. The record is from RNAcentral. RNAcentral also lists the same sequence under 1 other name. Lineage: Bacteria; Bacillati; Bacillota; Bacilli; Caryophanales; Listeriaceae.
CAUGGUUGUCGUCAGCUCGUGUCGUGAGAUGUUGGGUUAAGUCCCGCAACGAGCGCAACCCUUGAUUUUAGUUGCCAGCAUUUAGUUGGGCACUCUAAAGUGACUGCCGGUGCAAGCCGGAGGAAGGUGGGGAUGACGUCAAAUCAUCAUGCCCCUUAUGACCUGGGCUACACACGUGCUACAAUGGAUAGUACAAAGGGUCGCGAAGCCGCGAGGUGGAGCUAAUCCCAUAAAACUAUUCUCAGUUCGGAUUGUAGGCUGCAACUCGCCUACAUGAAGCCGGAAUCGCUAGUAAUCGUGGAUCAGCAUGCCACGGUGAAUACGUUCCCGGGCCUUGUACACACCGCCCGUCACACCACGAGAGUUUGUAACACCCGAAGUCGGUAGGGUAACCUUUAUGGAGCCAGCCGCCGAAGGUGGGACAGAUAAUUGGGGUGAAGUCGUAACAAGGUAGCCGUAUCGGAAGGUGCGGCUGGAUCACCUCCUUUCUAAGGAA